This 474-nucleotide ribosomal RNA is filed under the name uncultured bacterium. RNAcentral's name for it is "partial 16S ribosomal RNA". It matches the Rfam family "Bacterial small subunit ribosomal RNA", at positions 34 to 540 of the family's 1533-position model. The record is from RNAcentral.
AACGAACGCUGGCGGCAUGCCUAACACAUGCAAGUCGAACGAGACCUUCGGGUCUAGUGGCGCACGGGUGCGUAACGCGUGGGAACCUGCCCUUAGGUUCGGAAUAACUCCCCGAAAGGGGUGCUAAUACCGGAUAAUGUCUUCGGACCAAAGAUUUAUCGCCUUUGGAUGGGCCCGCGUUGGAUUAGCUAGUUGGUAGGGUAAAAGCCUACCAAGGCGACGAUCCAUAGCUGGUCUGAGAGGAUGAUCAGCCACACUGGGACUGAGACACGGCCCAGACUGAGGGGGGAGGAAGAAGUAGGGAAUAGAGCACACGGGGCAAAAGAGUGAUCAAGCGAGGCGGGAGGAGGGGUGAAGGCGUUAGUGUAGGAAAGCUCGUUCCCGAGUGAUGAGAAAAACAGGACAGGGAAAAGAGGCCGCGGCUAGCGCCGUGACAGAGGCAGCAGAAAGAGUCGGAAGGGAACGCGAACGUAC